This 1923-nucleotide long non-coding RNA is filed under the name Cottoperca gobio. RNAcentral describes it as "lncRNA (ENSCGOG00000007057.1)". The record is from RNAcentral. Lineage: Eukaryota; Metazoa; Chordata; Actinopteri; Perciformes; Bovichtidae.
CUAUAUGGCCCCAUUCAUCUCCCCACACCUUAGCUCAGGUGUCUCCCCUUCACACAUGAGUUACUUUUUCUGUGUGUCUCUCUAGGGAGGCUACCCUGCUGCUGCUGCUGCCGCCGCCGCCGCCUAUCGCUACGCCCAGCCAGCAGCCGUAACCGGAGCAACCGCUGCAGCUGCCGCCUACAGUGACAGUUAUGGCCGGGUGUACACUACAGAUCCCUACCACGGUUUAACUCCAGCUGCUGCUGCUUACGGAGUGGGAGCCAUGCAGGACAUUGCACUCACAUUGCAAGCCAGUUUAUACCGGGCAGGAUACAGUAGGUUUGCUCCUUACUAAAACCACAAAUCCCACCCGAGGAAUUUCACAUCGCUCCAAAAAACCCUUUUUCAAGCUCUUUGUUUGGCAGCAGCUCCCCUCCAUUUCUCUGCAGGCGGACUCUAGUGACAACUCGUGUGUUUCUUUGUUUUUCUGUCUUUUUUCUUUUGUGGCGAGAGAGGUCAUUUGCCACAUCAUCAACUCAAACUCUGUUUUCUGUACUCUGUGUCCGUCGCUGACACGGAAACAACGACUUAAACUGCCAGGAGUGUCUCCCACAUAAAACAAAAAGCCAGAGCCUGCUACUUUGAACUACGGGGCAAAAUUUAGGACGGUUUUUAAAACACUACGGGACCUGGAAGGAGAGAGACUGCUGUUCCUGUGCCGUCCUGCACACCUUUCCCCCUCUGAACUUACAGUAUGUCCACUGCCCUGUAAGCCCUAAUCAGACCUAUAUACACACACUUACUACAAGUAUACAGUUUCCUCCACAUUUUGCUUUAGUGUUGGCCCACACAGAAUGAUGCCACCGCACAGCAUUACUAUAGAAGGUACUUCUGUUUUUAAACACUACAUUGACGUAAAGCUACAGCCCCGUGCAGCAGAGACGGACGUCCCUCUGGUUUAACAUCGUGGUGUAAUAAUGAAACUCGGACUACACGAUACAGAAGACGUAGGAAUUAUUCUUGUUGUUUUGUAAAGCUGGAGCACCGAACAUUCACCCGGAGGGAACUGGGAGCAUCUUGACUGACAGAAACCACUGUUGUCCUGGCAACGACAAACAUUGCAUGAAAAAAAAAUCUUCUUUUUUUCAUUCUCCAGCAUUUCACGACUCCCCCCCCCCCCCCCCCCCCCCCCCCGAAUCUAAAAGGAAACACAAGAAAACAAAAUGUAAAAAAAAAAAUGUAAAAACGAAAGAAAUUCAAAAAAACGUGAAAGUGACGAGGAAAGAAAACAAGUGACUUUGUUUCUGCAUUACCUCACUUUUUAUUUUAUUUAGUUUCGCUGCCAUUGAUAGGAAGUUGCAUAGAAAAGUCGUUAUAUAUUCAGCCAUUCAUUUGUCCUCAUUGCUGUUCUACACAUUCUCCACUUAUAGCUGUAAACAACACUAAGACGGGACGUGGACAGUUUGAGCCGACCCUGUAUGUAUUCAGUGCACCUCCCCUCUAAAGGCUCAUCCUCGAUGUGCUCGUAGCGCUCCUUUCAAAAAAGGACCCGGCCCAUUUCUCUCUCCGUCUCCUAAACCCGUCAGACAUUCCAGCUGUAGCAGCGAAUGAACGGGUCGGACGGACAAACUCACCGAACACACGUGAACUAGAUUUAGCAGAUUUUGAAGCAGGAACACCCACACAGGGAACUCAUCAUCCGCCAAAUGGGAAUCCCUCCUGGCCAAUAAGAGAUAUUUCUGCCUCCAGGCUUCGGGUAGGCCACAUUAGAAUACAUUUGAAACAAAGAGAUCGCAGUCAUGUAAUGAGAAUUCAUCAUUGUUCUAUUUAUAUUCAUCCUUUUUAAUGUGACAGGACACUACAUGAUUUUGUCAUUUUAAAUCCGUCAUUAUGCUCUCUGGGAUUGUUCGGUCCGAGUAGUUUUAAAGUUCUCCUUACCGGUCA